Molecule: ribosomal RNA, 253 nt
Filed under: uncultured bacterium
Lineage: Bacteria
Description: partial 16S ribosomal RNA
Rfam family: Bacterial small subunit ribosomal RNA
Source: RNAcentral
UACAGAGGUCUCAAGCGUUGUUCGGAUUCAUUGGGCGUAAAGGGUGCGUAGGUGGCGUCGUAAGUCAGGUGUGAAAUCUCGGGGCUUAACUCCGAAACUGCAUUUGAUACUGCGGUGCUUGAGGACUGGAGAGGAGACUGGAAUUUACGGUGUAGCGGUGAAAUGCGUAGAUAUCGUAAGGAAGACCAGUGGCGAAGGCGGGUCUCUGGACAGUUCCUGACGCUGAGGCACGAAGGCCAGGGGAGCAAACGGG